GAUGAACGCUAGCUACAGGCUUAACACAUGCAAGUCGCAGGGUAACAUGAGGAAAGCUUGCUUUCCUUGAUGACGACUGGCGCACGGGUGAGUAACGCGUAUCCAACCUUCCCAUAACUACGGGAUAACCCGUUGAAAGACGGCCUAAUACCGUAUGAUAUCGUUUGCUGACAUCAAAUAACGAUUAAAGGUUUAGCGGUUAUGGAUGGGGAUGCGUCUGAUUAGCUUGUUGGCGGGGUAACGGCCCACCAAGGCGACGAUCAGUAGGGGUUCUGAGAGGAAGGGCCCCCACAAUGGAACUGAGACCCGGGCCAAAGUCCUACGGGAGGGAGCAGUGAGGAAUAGUGGUCAAUGGGAGAGAGCCUGAACCAGCCAAGUAGCGUGCAGGACGACGGCCCUAUGGGUUGUAAACUGCUUUUAUGUGGGGAUAAAGUGCGUGACGUGUCAUGCAUUGCAGGUACCACAUGAAUAAGGACCGGCUAAUUCCGUG
Molecule: ribosomal RNA, 490 nt
Filed under: uncultured bacterium
Lineage: Bacteria
Description: partial 16S ribosomal RNA
Rfam family: Bacterial small subunit ribosomal RNA
Source: RNAcentral